Hydra vulgaris (swiftwater hydra) is the source of this 1684-nucleotide long non-coding RNA. RefSeq lists it as uncharacterized. NCBI's taxonomy places the organism in Eukaryota, Metazoa, Cnidaria, Hydrozoa, Anthoathecata, Hydridae. The record is from RefSeq and is a predicted model, not a curated record.
UAAAUAGUUAAUUUAUUUGUUUUUAAGAGUUUUAAAAACAAUUUUUGUUUCGAAUGUAAUAAUUUAAAAAUUUUUAAUAUUAAUGACAUCAAAUGAAUCAAAGAAAAGAAAGUAUACGUCUUGUUUUCUUAAACGUGCUUGGAGCACACAAUUUCCUUUUGUUCAGCCUAUAAAUGAUAAUGAAUUCAAAGCUAAUUGCACAAUAUGUGAAUGUUUCAAUAUCCACCACCAAGAACUAUUGGAUAUUACCAGACAUAUCAGCAUAAGUAGACAGUUAAAUAUGUUGCAUCCACUAAACAAAUCAAUUCCUUUUUUGCAAGUAACACAACUGAAGUUAAAUCUAUUAUAAAUGCAGAAUUUUUGUUUAUUGGUUUUAUUCUAGAACAUAAUUUGUCAUUUGAGUGCUCAUCACAUGCAGGUCUUCUUUUCAAAAAAAAUGUUUCCUGACAGUAAAAUAGCAGCAAAGUAUGGAUGUGCAGCAACAAAAACAAAGUUCAUCAUUAAUAAUGCCAUUGCCCUGUCAUUACAUUCUUGUAUUGUGGAUCUUCUCAAAGCUAAACCAUUUAGCCUUUCUGUUGAUAGAAACAGUGAUACAGGUACUGAAAGCAUGUACUCACUUGUUGUGAAGAUUUAUAACAUUAACAGAGGUGAAAUCAGUUCUCAGUUUUGGAAUAUGGCUCUUGCCAGUGAUUGUACAGCUGGAUUAAUUUUCCAAAAGGUGUAGGCUAUCUUUGAAAAAGAAAGUGUUACCUUGCAAAACUGCAUUGCCUUAAUUUUAGAUAAUGCCUCUGUGAACAUGGGAAAACACAAGGGAUAAUUCACACACCUCAUUAAAAAAAAUCAAAGAGUCAAUUUACAUAUUUGGAUGUCCCUGUCAUAUUUACAAUACCGCAAAAGCAGGAUCAGAUACAUUUACUAAAGCAACAUUUUAGCAACUUUUUAUUUGACAAUUUUUAUUGCUUUCACAACAGCACUAACAAUGUACAUUAAAAGAUUUUUGUGGCUUUUGUGAUCAGAAGUACAUAAUAAUUUCGAAGUAUGGGGCUACACAUGGCUAAAUAAAGAAGUGUGUAUCACUAAGAUGAUUGAAUUUGGAGCAAUUCGGUUCAUGCAGGCAGCUUAUCUAUAUGGAAAAGGUCAUUUUCUAUUGACUGACCCUGUUGUUGAACAUGCAGCUGUUAUCCAAAUUGAGAAUAGAAAGUCUGUUGAAUUUGAAUUAGUGUUAUACUUUAUAAACAGAUUUCCUACUUUGAAAACAUCAAUUUGAGAUAAUGUUGAGUGUGUUUGUGAUUAGUUUGUGGCAUCAACUGCUCCCAGGCAACACUUUCUUAAAAGAAAGAAUUGAUCAUGUAUUGCAUAAGCUGAAUUGUCUCAAAAAUGCAACUGGCCCACGAUUUAAUUUGUUGUUUCAGAUUGCUAAGUUUGUCAUGGUAUUACGGCAUAGGAAUGCAGCAAGUAAUUUUUGAGAUCAUAUAUGACUAAUUUGUUAAUUUUUUUAAUAGAUUUGUUAAUAGAAAGAAGAUUCAUGUCAUCGGCAAAGUGUUGGACUCUGUAAAAUUCAAUAGCCUAUGAUAAAUCAUUUAUAAAGAUUAUAAAUAGUAAUGGUUCUAGUCCCAGUCCUUGAGGUGCACUAACAUUAAUAUCACAAAUAUCAGCAUUUUUUUUUUUUUUUUUUUUUUUUUUU